AGCUCCAAUAGCGUAUAUUAAAGUUGUUGCAGUUAAAACGCUCGUAGUCGAGAGUGUAGGCGAGUCCGGAUGGUGUGCCGUUGGCAGUACUGAGCGGGGAGCCUAUUGAUGUGGGGGGAGGGGGAGACUGAUGGUGUCUGCUGAACCCCGAGAUUACUGUGAAGAAAUUAGAGUGUUUAAAGCAGGCGUUUGCUUGAAUACGUUAGCAUGGAAUAAUGGGAUGGGACUUUGGACCGUUUCGUUGGUUUGAUGGCCAAGGUGAUGAUUGAUAGGGACAGUUGGGGGCAUUAGUAUUCAGUAGUCAGAGGUGAAAUUCUUGGAUUUACUGAAGACUGACUAGUGCGAAAGCAUUUGCCAAGGAUGUUUUCA
RNAcentral lists this ribosomal RNA (369 nucleotides) under uncultured eukaryote. RNAcentral's name for it is "SSU rRNA". It matches the Rfam family "Eukaryotic small subunit ribosomal RNA", at positions 587 to 972 of the family's 1831-position model. The record is from RNAcentral.